RNAcentral lists this unclassified non-coding RNA (196 nucleotides) under uncultured Chaetothyriales. RNAcentral's name for it is "sequence contains ITS1". Lineage: Eukaryota; Fungi; Ascomycota; Eurotiomycetes; Chaetothyriales. The record is from RNAcentral.
ACGAGUUAGGGUCUUCUAGGCCCGACCUCCCAACCCAUUGUUUACUAAACCAUUUGUUGCUUCGGCGAGCCCGUCUUUACAGACCGCCGGGGGACCGUAAUAGGUCCCCUGGCCUGUGUUCGCCGAUAGCCCCAACCUCAAAAACUCUUUAAUUAAACGUGUCUUGACUAAGUAUUUGUAACCAAAAUUAAAAGCA